RNAcentral lists this ribosomal RNA (424 nucleotides) under uncultured bacterium. RNAcentral describes it as "bacterial SSU rRNA". It matches the Rfam family "Bacterial small subunit ribosomal RNA", at positions 608 to 1029 of the family's 1533-position model. The record is from RNAcentral.
CUAAACCGGGAGAGGAUGUCUGAGACUGCCGAUCUAGAGUGAGGUAGAGGGGUGUGGAAUUCCGCGUGUAGUGGUGAAAUGCGUAGAGAUGCGGAGGAACACCGGUGGCGAAGGCGGCACCCUGGACCUUGACUGACGCUGAGGCGCGAAAGCAUGGGUAGCGAACGGGAUUAGAAACCCCGGUAGUCCAUGCCGUAAACGAUGUGCACUCGAUGUUCGUCCCGCACUGCGGGGGGAGUGUCUAAGCAAACGCGUUAAGUGCACCGCCUGGGGAGUACGGUCGCAAGGCUAAAACUCAAAGGAAUUGACGGGGGCCCGCACAAGCAGCGGAGCGUGUGGUUUAAUUCGAGGCUACACGAAGAACCUUACCUGGGUUUGACAUCGCGGUGGUAGCGAAGCGAAAGCGGAGCGACCUUCGGGAGCC